GCCUAGCCCUAAAUCUUGAUACUUCCACCACCAAAGUAUCCGCCUGAGAACUACGAGCACAAACGCUUAAAACUCUAAGGACUUGGCGGUGCUCCAAACCCACCUAGAGGAGCCUGUCCUAUAAUCGAUAACCCACGAUAUACCUGACCACUUCUUGCCAACGCAGCCUACAUACCGCCGUCGCCAGCUCACCUCCCCUGAGAGAGCUACAGUGAGCACAAUAGCCCACCACGCUAACAAGACAGGUCAAGGUAUAGCUUAUGAAGUGGAAGAGAUGGGCUACAUUUUCUAAAGUAGAAAACCCCACGAAAGGGGGCAUGAAACUGCUCCCGGAAGGCGGAUUUAGCAGUAAAGGGGGAUAAUAAAGCCCUCUUUAAGCUGGCUCUGGAGCACGU
This 395-nucleotide ribosomal RNA is filed under the name Pelecanus conspicillatus (Australian pelican). RNAcentral describes it as "partial 12S small subunit ribosomal RNA". It matches the Rfam family "Bacterial small subunit ribosomal RNA", at positions 794 to 1384 of the family's 1533-position model. Lineage: Eukaryota; Metazoa; Chordata; Aves; Pelecaniformes; Pelecanidae. The record is from RNAcentral.